This 73-nucleotide transfer RNA is filed under the name Bacteroidota bacterium. RNAcentral's name for it is "tRNA-Gly". It matches the Rfam family "tRNA". From Rfam's summary of the family: Transfer RNA (tRNA) molecules are approximately 80 nucleotides in length. The record is from RNAcentral. RNAcentral also lists the same sequence under 1 other name. Lineage: Bacteria; Pseudomonadati; Bacteroidota.
GCGAGAGUAGCUCAGUUGGUAGAGCGUCAGCCUUCCAAGCUGAGGGUCGCGGGUUCGAAUCCCGUCUCUCGCU